GCUGGGCAUGGUGGUGCCUGCCUGUAAUUCCAUCUACUUGGGAGGCUGAGGCAGGAGGAUCACAAGUUUGAUGCUAGCUUGAGCAAUUUAAUAAGUCCUUGUCUCAA
Molecule: small RNA, 107 nt
Filed under: Marmota monax (woodchuck)
Lineage: Eukaryota; Metazoa; Chordata; Mammalia; Rodentia; Sciuridae
Source: RNAcentral